ACGGGAGGCAGCAGUGGGGAAUAUUGCACAAUGGGGGAAACCCUGAUGCAGCGACGCCGCGUGAGUGAUGAAGUAUUUCGGUAUGUAAAGCUCUAUCAGCAGGGAAGAUAAUGACGGUACCUGACUAAGAAGCACCGGCUAAAUACGUGCCAGCAGCCGCGGUAAUACGUAUGGUGCAAGCGUUAUCCGGAUUUACUGGGUGUAAAGGGUGCGUAGGUGGUAUGGCAAGUCAGAAGUGAAAACACGGGGCUCAACCCCGUGACUGCUUUUGAAACUGUCAAACUAGAGUGCAGGAGAGGAAAGCGGAAUUCCUAGUGUAGCGGUGAAAUGCGUAGAUAUUAGGAGGAACACCAGUGGCGAAGGCGGCUUACUGGACUGUAACUGACGUUGAGGCUCGAAAGCGUGGGGAGCAAACAGGAUUAGAUACCCUGGUA
RNAcentral lists this ribosomal RNA (434 nucleotides) under uncultured Lachnospiraceae bacterium. RNAcentral describes it as "bacterial SSU rRNA". It matches the Rfam family "Bacterial small subunit ribosomal RNA", at positions 341 to 792 of the family's 1533-position model. The record is from RNAcentral. Lineage: Bacteria; Bacillati; Bacillota; Clostridia; Lachnospirales; Lachnospiraceae.